RNAcentral lists this antisense RNA (75 nucleotides) under Micromonospora sp. M71_S20. RNAcentral describes it as "ASpks TB sRNA". It matches the Rfam family "ASpks TB sRNA". The record is from RNAcentral. Lineage: Bacteria; Bacillati; Actinomycetota; Actinomycetes; Micromonosporales; Micromonosporaceae.
CUUCACCGAGCCGAGCCAGAGCGGCCGGUCCGCCGGUCGGCCCUGCCCGUACGUCGACAGCAGCGCCUGGGCCUC